GAAUAACAGGUCUCUUCUCAAAGCAAUUGAAGAGUCAAGGACUCCUAUCACUGCAUUUUCUGAAAAUAAUGCAUCUUCAACGUGGUGUUUGGAUGGACCUUUUAAGAUCCUACAAAAUUUUCAAGAAAAGAAAAUUUUGGUACUAUUUUUACAAGGUGAAUCACUCGGAAGUACAAAAUCAGAGGAAAUUUUUUGGUACUUCUCAUGGAUUGUAAGAUCUUAAUAAGUUCAUCCAAACACCAUAUUGAGGAUGCAUAGUUUUCAGAAAAUACAAUGAUACAAGUCUUUGAUUCUUCUCUUGGAAGCUCAUUGUCAUCUAUGAA
Malus domestica (apple) is the source of this 323-nucleotide non-coding RNA. Lineage: Eukaryota; Viridiplantae; Streptophyta; Magnoliopsida; Rosales; Rosaceae. The record is from RefSeq and is marked provisional.